RNAcentral lists this long non-coding RNA (1380 nucleotides) under Oryzias javanicus (javanese ricefish). Its description in RNAcentral is "lncRNA (ENSOJAG00000012474.1)". Lineage: Eukaryota; Metazoa; Chordata; Actinopteri; Beloniformes; Adrianichthyidae. The record is from RNAcentral.
GGUUUGGCUUCCAUGAAGAUGAGCACCGCUGGAAAGCAGAAACUGCUACACGACCCAGUCACAGUUCCUGGAUGAUCCCGGCCACAAACAGCGGAUGUCUCAGCUCUGGACAGAAUGGGAUCAGCACGUCUUCCUCCCAAAACCAAAACGAUGCCUUUCUCCAAAUGCCUGCUGUGACCUUCGAUCUGGGAAACGAGUGGGAGGACUUUGAGGAUGAGAAGCUGCUGCGAGGCAGCCAGGAUCCCAGAGCUGAAGCUCAGUGGCUGCAGACUGAACCGAGUGUCUCAGGCUGUGCAGCUGCAUCAGCACCAGCGUUCUCCAGCCGCUCAUCUGCUAACCGUUGUGUACCUCCAGCUGCUCCACAAAGGCAAUACUUCAAGUACACACAGAAUGUAUUUGUCAGAAACUCCAUCAAAGAAGUGGAGUGAUGGUGUACUCGUGUUCCUGUGCUUUAGUUUAAGUCUAGCAGCUGUAAAUCCUGGAGUCAGGAGACUUGGAUCUUCUCACUGGAGCCAGAGCUUCCCGGAUCCCAGGAGAAUCACGCUUGACGUCAACACAAAGAAGCCAAGCGUCCUGAGCAGGCAGUCGGCGGCAAAGCCUCUGGAACGUGGGGCUGUGGCGCAUCUUCCUCCAGGAAUGCACUUCUUUCAUGCAGAGGGCAGCUCCUCUCUCAGCAGAAGCAGGGAGGAGGAAGCCUUUGUGGGGAUUUUUGACGGCAUCUUCUAGACCACUUGUACUUUCUUCAUGUUAUACUUAUUCAUGUUCGACCAUCUUUAAUGCAUGAAUGACAGUUUGCAGUGUGUGUUGUUGUUCUUACCUCAUACCGGUCAGAGUUCUGAAGUUAUCUUGUUCAAACUCUUCAGUAGGUUUUGUAUUUAAAUGUUUGUAUUUGUUAGUCGUGUUAGAAUAAAAACAAGAACAAAACUUUCUGCUAUUUAUUUGAACAUGACAAAGUGUUUGCUGAUAAGUUUGUCUUUUUUGUUGUAAAAAUAAAAAUAUAUAAGUUUGCUUCUGUUCAUGCUGGUCUACUUUUGACAUAAAUUAUAUAUGAAGUACCUGGCAGUGGUCCCACCCCCUUGGUUACUGCUUCAGGCUCCUCCCCCUGGUUUUAACCACUGACAGUAGGUGAGAUCCUGCAGGCAGCGCUGUGCAGAUCACCUGGAUUGCAGUGCAUCUUGGGUAGUUUUGACUCAGACGUCACUGAGAGGCGGGUGCAAGGCGGGUGGUCCUGGCGCUGCGCUGGCUGCAAGCUGCAUUGAUGACUACAAAACAAUGCAUUGUGGGAAACAGAGCGCUGGUAGUUUUUGUACUUAUACGUGAUUCUGAUCAGAAAUGACUUGCACUAAAUUAGGGAAAUUUGCACAUUUUGUAACAAUUUUU